UACGUGAAACCGUUCAGGGGUAAACGGAAAAGAUCCGAAAUACCGAACGGGGAGAUUCACUCCCUCUCGCCUGAGUCGGCUCUCUCGAGGUCAGAUGGCGCCGUUCGCCCGUGCGGUGCAAGCCGCUGCGGUGUCGCAACGGUGUUCACUCGACACUCGUGGGGGUUAUGCCGGCCGCGGUGGGCCGCACUUCUCCCUCAGUAGGACGUCGCGACCCGUUGGGCGACGGUCAACGGCCCCGGGGUUAAGACCGGCGGUAGCCUGGGUUUCGGCCCAGUGCGUCACCGUCCGGAGCUCGGGAGUCCCGGCCGAUCGCCAGACGGUAUGGAAUGCAGGUGCUGAACCACCCCAGUUUGGGUGUCCAGGCCGGACGCAAGCUUGCGUGCGUGCGCCCGGGAUGACGGACCCUGCGGUCCGGUUCCCGGCCCGUACCGCUGUUGGCGGACGUGUCCUUGGACGGGUUUUGUAACACCGGUCGGCGACGCUUCAGUUUUGGGUACUUAUCCGACCCGUCUUGAAACACGGACCAAGGAGUCUAACAUGUGCGCGAGUCAUUGGGUACACAAACCUAAAGGCGCAAUGAAAUUGAAGGCUUGUCUUUUCAGACCGAGGGAGGAUGGGUACGUCUGCCCACGUGGCGGUGCCCCGCACUCCCGGGGCGUCUCGUUCUCACUGCGAGAGGAGGCGCGCCCAGAGCGUACACGUUGGGACCCGAAAGAUGGUGAACUAUGCCUGGCCAGGACGAAGUCAGGGGAAACCCUGAUGGAGGUCCGUAGCGAUUCUGACGUGCAAAUCGAUCGUCGGAGCUGGGUAUAGGGGCGAAAGACUAAUCGAACCAUC
This 840-nucleotide ribosomal RNA is filed under the name Hemiptera sp. NZAC 03010846. RNAcentral's name for it is "eukaryotic LSU rRNA". It matches the Rfam family "Eukaryotic large subunit ribosomal RNA", at positions 396 to 944 of the family's 3401-position model. The record is from RNAcentral. Lineage: Eukaryota; Metazoa; Arthropoda; Insecta; Hemiptera.